CCCAAUAGUCAUACCGCCCUAAACAUGCCCCAUCUCAUCUGAUCUUAGAAGCUAAGCAAGGUUGGGCCUGGUUAGCACUGGGAUGGGAGACCUCCUGGGAAUACUGGGGCACAGUUACUC
Molecule: ribosomal RNA, 120 nt
Filed under: Gopherus agassizii (Agassiz's desert tortoise)
Lineage: Eukaryota; Metazoa; Chordata; Testudines; Testudinidae
Source: RNAcentral